UACGAAGGGGGCUAGCGUUGUUCGGAAUUACUGGGCGUAAAGCGUGCGCAGGCGGCUUCUCAAGUCAGGGGUGAAAGCCCAGAGCUCAACUCUGGAAUUGCCUUUGAGACUGAGUGGCUUGAGUACGAGAGAGGUGAGUGGAAUUCCUAGUGUAGAGGUGAAAUUCGUAGAUAUUGGGAAGAACACCGGUGGCGAAGGCGGGUCUCUGGGCCGUAACUGACGCUGAGGAGCGAAAGCGUGGGGAGCGAACAGG
Molecule: ribosomal RNA, 253 nt
Filed under: uncultured bacterium
Lineage: Bacteria
Description: partial 16S ribosomal RNA
Rfam family: Bacterial small subunit ribosomal RNA
Source: RNAcentral